This 219-nucleotide non-coding RNA is filed under the name Micromonospora avicenniae. Lineage: Bacteria; Bacillati; Actinomycetota; Actinomycetes; Micromonosporales; Micromonosporaceae. The record is from RNAcentral.
AUGGUGUCCCACGCAGCUGGUUCGGCCGCACCUGCACGGUGCGGCCGAGGCAAGAGGGAACCCGGUGCGAGUCCGGGACUGCCCCGCAGCGGUGAGUGGGAACGAACGCCGUCAUCAAGCACUGGGCCUUGCCGGCCCGGGAAGCGACGGCCAGUAGGCGACCGGGGUGCCCCGGUCACGCCCGCGAGUCCGAAGACCUGCCAGCGCGCCGUACGCGUU